UGCUAACGUCCGUCGUGAAGAGGGAAACAACCCAGACCGCCAGCUAAGGUCCCAAAGUCAUGGUUAAGUGGGAAACGAUGUGGGAAGGCCCAGACAGCCAGGAUGUUGGCUUAGAAGCAGCCAUCAUUUAAAGAAAGCGUAAUAGCUCACUGGUCGAGUCGGCCUGCGCGGAAGAUGUAACGGGGCUAAACCAUGCACCGAAGCUGCGGCAGCGACGCUUAUGCGUUGUUGGGUAGGGGAGCGUUCUGUAAGCCUGCGAAGGUGUGCUGUGAGGCAUGCUGGAGGUAUCAGAAGUGCGAAUGCUGACAUAAGUAACGAUAAAGCGGGUGAAAAGCCCGCUCGCCGGAAGACCAAGGGUUCCUGUCCAACGUUAAUCGGGGCAGGGUGAGUCGACCCCUAAGGCGAGGCCGAAAGGCGUAGUCGAUGGGAAACAGGUUAAUAUUCCUGUACUUGGUGUUACUGCGAAGGGGGGACGGAGAAGGCUAUGUUGGCCGGGCGACGGUUGUCCCGGUUUAAGCGUGUAGGCUGGUUUUCCAGGCAAAUCCGGAAAAUCAAGGCUGAGGCGUGAUGACGAGGCACUACGGUGCUGGAGCAACAAAUGCCCUGCUUCCAGGAA
RNAcentral lists this ribosomal RNA (616 nucleotides) under Enterococcus faecalis. Its description in RNAcentral is "partial 23S ribosomal RNA". It matches the Rfam family "Bacterial large subunit ribosomal RNA", at positions 996 to 1614 of the family's 2925-position model. The record is from RNAcentral. Lineage: Bacteria; Bacillati; Bacillota; Bacilli; Lactobacillales; Enterococcaceae.